UACGUAGGGGGCAAGCGUUGUCCGGAUUUAUUGGGCGUAAAGGGCGCGUAGGCGGCCUGGCAAGUGGAAGGUGAAAUCCCUCGGCUUAACCGAGGAACUGCCUUCCAAACUGCUUGGCUUGAGUCCGGGAGAGGUGAGUGGAAUUCCCAGUGUAGCGGUGAAAUGCGUAGAUAUCGGGAGGAACACCAGUGGCGAAGGCGGCAUCCUGGCCCUGUCCUGACGCUCAGGGGCGAAAGCGUGGGGAGCAAACCGG
Molecule: ribosomal RNA, 253 nt
Filed under: uncultured bacterium
Lineage: Bacteria
Description: partial 16S ribosomal RNA
Rfam family: Bacterial small subunit ribosomal RNA
Source: RNAcentral